ACGAACGCUGGCGGCGUGCUUAACACCUGCAAGUCGCGCGGUGAAGCGCCUUCCUUUUUGGUGGGUGUGGAUGAGUGGCGAACGGGUGAGUUACACGUGAGUAACCUGCCCCCUUCUUCUGGAUAACCGCAUGAAAGUGUGGCUAAUACGGGAUAUUCUGGGUCUGUCGCAUGAUGGGUCUGGGAAAGAUAUUGUUUCGGUUGGGGAUGGGCUCGCGGCCUAUCAGCUUGUUGGUGGGGUGAUGGCCUACCAAGGCGGUGACGGGUAGCCGGCCUGAGAGGGUGGACGGUCACACUGGGACUGAGACACGGCCCAGACGCCUACGGGAGGCAGCAGUGGGGAAUAUUGCACAAUGGGCGCAAGCCUGAUGCAGCGACGCCGCGUGAGGGAUGGAGGCCUUCGGGUUGUGAACCUCUUUCGCCAGUGAAGCAGGCCUGCCUCGUUUGUGGGUGGGUUGACGGUAGCUGGAUAAGAAGCGCCGGCUAACUACGUG
RNAcentral lists this ribosomal RNA (493 nucleotides) under uncultured bacterium. Its description in RNAcentral is "partial 16S ribosomal RNA". It matches the Rfam family "Bacterial small subunit ribosomal RNA", at positions 29 to 507 of the family's 1533-position model. The record is from RNAcentral.